AGCGAACGCUGGCGGCAGGCUUAAUACAUGCAAGUCGAGCGCCUGUAGCAAUACAGGAGCGGCAGACGGGUGAGUAACGCGUGGGAACGUGCCCUUUGGUUCGGAACAACACAGGGAAACUUGUGCUAAUACCGGAUAAGCCCUUACGGGGAAAGAUUUAUCGCCGAAGGAUCGGCCCGCGUCUGAUUAGCUAGUUGGUGAGGUAAUGGCUCACCAAGGCGACGAUCAGUAGCUGGUCUGAGAGGAUGAUCAGCCACACUGGGACUGAGACACGGCC
RNAcentral lists this ribosomal RNA (277 nucleotides) under uncultured bacterium. RNAcentral's name for it is "partial 16S ribosomal RNA". It matches the Rfam family "Bacterial small subunit ribosomal RNA", at positions 29 to 331 of the family's 1533-position model. The record is from RNAcentral.